CGGUCGUUGGUGAAGUUCGAGAUGUUCGUGUCGCCGCCGGUGGUGCGGUAGUUGCCGCCCGCAACGACCUGCACGGUGCCGAGGCCGCCGCGUCCGU
This 97-nucleotide transfer RNA is filed under the name Methylobacterium sp. Its description in RNAcentral is "tRNA-Gly". RNAcentral also lists the same sequence under 1 other name. The record is from RNAcentral. Lineage: Bacteria; Pseudomonadati; Pseudomonadota; Alphaproteobacteria; Hyphomicrobiales; Methylobacteriaceae.